RNAcentral lists this ribosomal RNA (435 nucleotides) under uncultured bacterium. RNAcentral's name for it is "partial 16S ribosomal RNA". It matches the Rfam family "Bacterial small subunit ribosomal RNA", at positions 29 to 507 of the family's 1533-position model. The record is from RNAcentral.
AGCGAACGCUGGCGGCAGGCUUAACACAUGCAAGUCGAGCGGGCACUUUCGGGUGUCAGCGGCGGACGGGUGAGUAACGCGUGGGAACGUGCCCUCUGGUUCGGAAUAACUCAGGGAAGCUUGAGCUAAUACCGGAUACGCCCUUUUGGGGAAAGGCUUGCUGCCGGAGGAUCGGCCCGCGUCUGAUUAGCUAGUUGGUGAGGUAACGGCUCACCAAGGCGACGAUCAGUAGCUGGUCUGAGAGGAUGAUCAGCCACACUGGGACUGAGACACGGCCCAGACUCCUACGGGAGGCAGCAGUGGGGAAUAUUGGACAAUGGGCGCAAGCCUGAUCCAGCCAUGCCGCGUGAGUGAUCAAGGCCUUAGGGUUGUAAAGCUCUUUUAUCCGGGACGAUAAUGACGGUACCGGAGGAAUAAGCCCCGGCUAACUUCGUG